UUUAUACUUCCUCCGUCCGGAAAUACUUGUCAUCAAAAUGAAUAAAAGGGGAUGUAUCUAGAUGUAUUUUAGUUUUAGAUACAUCCCUUUUUGUCCAUUUUGAUGACAAGUAUUUUCGGACGGAGGGAGUAAGAU
Non-coding RNA from Triticum aestivum (bread wheat), 135 nucleotides. The record is from Rfam. NCBI's taxonomy places the organism in Eukaryota, Viridiplantae, Streptophyta, Magnoliopsida, Poales, Poaceae.